This 366-nucleotide transfer-messenger RNA is filed under the name Bacilli. RNAcentral describes it as "RUG131 sp900315885 Standard tmRNA". It matches the Rfam family "transfer-messenger RNA". Rfam says of the family: Bacterial tmRNA, also known as 10Sa RNA or SsrA, is named for its dual tRNA and mRNA-like properties. Its role is to liberate the mRNA from a stalled ribosome. RNAcentral also lists the same sequence under 4 other names. The record is from RNAcentral. Lineage: Bacteria; Bacillati; Bacillota.
GGGGAUGUAUUGGUCUCGACAGGGUAUGGUUGGGUAAGGAACGCAGUCGGUUGAUCGCGUCAUAGAUCAAAAACAAUUAUCUGGCAACAGAAAUCAAUUUGCUUUUGCUGCUUAAUUAAGCCAUAGUCCCGCUAUUAGGGAAGUAAAGCCAUCUAUCUGAGUUGGGUCUCUAAGCGAAGAAUAGGUGCAAUUUUGAGAGAAUAAGACUUAUCGAUAUCUAUAAGGUAGGUACGAAAAUUUAUAGGUUACUUAGGAGUUGAUUCGUUUGUUAGUCUUACUUCUAAGGAAAUUUAUUAGCAAACUAAACUGUAGUGGUCUUUACUGGACUUAUCUUGGACGCGGUUUCGAUUACCGCCAUCUCCACCA